Molecule: ribosomal RNA, 253 nt
Filed under: uncultured bacterium
Lineage: Bacteria
Description: partial 16S ribosomal RNA
Rfam family: Bacterial small subunit ribosomal RNA
Source: RNAcentral
UACAGAGGGGGCAAGCGUUGUUCGGAAUUACUGGGCGUAAAGGGCGCGUAGGCGGCCUGUUAAGUCAGACGUGAAAUCCCUCGGCUCAACCGGGGAACUGCGUCUGAUACUGGCGGGCUUGAAUUCGGGAGAGGGAUGUGGAAUUCCAGGUGUAGCGGUGAAAUGCGUAGAUAUCUGGAGGAACACCUAUUGCGAAGGCAGCUCGCUGGGACGUAACUGACGCUGAGACGCGAAAGCGUGGGGAGCAAACAGG